This 253-nucleotide ribosomal RNA is filed under the name uncultured bacterium. Its description in RNAcentral is "partial 16S ribosomal RNA". It matches the Rfam family "Bacterial small subunit ribosomal RNA", at positions 524 to 776 of the family's 1533-position model. The record is from RNAcentral.
UACGAAGGGUGCAAGCGUUAUCCGGAUUCAUUGGGUUUAAAGGGUGCGUAGGCGGAGCGUUAAGUCAGUGGUGAAAUCCUGCAGCUCAACUGUAGACUUGCCAUUGAUACUGGCGCUCUUGAGUGCGCUUGAAGUAGGCGGAAUGUGCCGUGUAGCGGUGAAAUGCUUAGAUAUGGCACAGAACACCAAUUGCGAAGGCAGCUUACUAAGGCGAUACUGACGCUGAUGCGCGAAAGCGUGGGUAGCAAACAGG